UCAACUUCAAUUGGUGUCGAGUAAUCAGCUUUCUAAGAAUUUUAGUCUGUUAGACACUCGUCCUUGCCCUAUGAUGCUAUCUGUGUUAGCUUAAUUAGUAUUAUCAUUACCGCAUUCCAGUUCAAGUUCUACAUUGAACAGUCUCCUACAAGAAUUUGAUGAUGUUUUUCAACCUCCCAUGGGUCUUCCUCCUCAUAGAUGAUAGGAUCACCA
RNAcentral lists this long non-coding RNA (213 nucleotides) under Gossypium barbadense (sea-island cotton). RNAcentral describes it as "long non-coding RNA (GBAR_LNC009465)". Lineage: Eukaryota; Viridiplantae; Streptophyta; Magnoliopsida; Malvales; Malvaceae. The record is from RNAcentral.